Aedes albopictus (Asian tiger mosquito) is the source of this 13324-nucleotide long non-coding RNA. RefSeq lists it as uncharacterized. The record is from RefSeq and is a predicted model, not a curated record. The transcript is spliced from 2 exons. NCBI's taxonomy places the organism in Eukaryota, Metazoa, Arthropoda, Insecta, Diptera, Culicidae.
CAUUAUUGAUGUUAAUCUGGCAGAAGAACUACGAAAAUUAAAAACAACUACGAAUUUUUCAGGAAAAAUAUACAAUUCCGUUAUAACUUCAAACUAAUCUCGAACUCCCAUACAUUUUAUGGUUUUAAAAUAUUUGCGUAUUUAUCCAGAACAAAAUUGAUAUAUAUGUGGAGCGGACCUGGUGUGAACACUUGACUAUCACGCCGAGGACCUGGGAUCGAAUCCCAUUCCCGAAAAUCUCACAAAUGUUAGUUCUUCCAUCGGAAGGGAAGUAAAGUGUGGGUCCCGAGAUGAACUAGCCUAGGGCUAAAAAUCUCGUUAAUACAGAUAAAAAAAAAUGAUAUAAAUCUGGCCAAAGAACUAUAAAAAAUUCAGAAAACUACGAUUUAAUUUAAAAAAAUAUACAAUUUUGUUAUAACUUUAAACUCAUCUCAAAUUCCCAUACAUCUUAUUAUUUUAAAAUUUUUGCGUAUUUAUCCAGAACAAGUUUGCAGAACAUUAUAGAUGUAAAUCUGGCAAAAGAACUACAAAAAAUCAGAAAACUACGAAUUUUUCAGGAAAAAUAUACAAUUUCGUUAAAACUUCAAACUAAUCUCGAACUCCCAUACAUUUUAUGAUAUUAAAAUAUUUGUGUAUUUAUCCAGAACAAGUUUGCAUUGUUGAUGGUUUUCUCUUCAAAGAACUAUAAAAAAUCAGAAAACUACGAUUUUUUCAGAAAAAAUAUACAAUUUCGUUAUAAAUUCAGAAAACUACGAUUUUUAUUAGCAGAAAUAUACAUUUUUGAUAUAAGCUCAAAUUGAUUUCAAUUUCUCAUAUUUCUCAUCAGACAGAUCGUUUAUUGCUUGUCAGGAGGCGAAAAAACAUAAAAAAAAACAAUAAAAAAUACAUAACGUAUCAGAACAUUUGGUCUGUAAGCAUUGUUUCUACAGUUCAUAAAUUUCAAAGGAUUGAUCAAUUUAUUCAAAAUGUAUCAACGUAGCAUAUACAAUCGAAUAUUUGUAUCGUUUUAUAUUAUAAAUGACCGUUUCUCCUAAAUAAAGGAUUGAUGGCCCCUUUUUUCAGGCUAUCUAUAUAGCAAUAUCACGCUGCCCAUAAUACCAAAAAUUACAUAGAACCAUCGUAAAACGCAUAUAUUUAUUGAAAUCAUGUCUAAUAUAGUAUACUACAGUAUUGGUACAAAGUAGUUUUCUAAAUAACCCUGGAAUUUGAAGUGCAGUUUUGUUAUAGAUAAAAAUGUCCAAAGUAGCCCCCAUCCGAGAUGUGUCCGAUUGGUGUAUGAAGAACUUUUUUGUUAAUUGAUGGAUUUAGUUCAAAUUUAGCAUACAUCCAACAAUACUUACGAUUAUUAUUUGUAAAAAUUGUGGAAAUCGAUUCACUACUCUGGGAGUUAUAAUGUCUCGAAGUUGAAAAAAAAAACACGAAAAAGUGUAAGAAGUGUAAGAAGUACGAUGGUAUUUUAUGAUUUUAAAAUAUUUGCGUAUUUAUCCAAAACAAGUUUGCAGGACAUUAUUGAUAUAAACCUGGCCAAAGAACUACAGAAACUUCAGAAAACUAUGAUUUUUUUCAGGAAAAAUAUACAAUUAAGUUAUAAGUUCAAACCAAUCUCGAAUUCCAAUACAUAUUAUGGUUUGAGAAUAUUUGCAUAUUUAUCCAGAACAUGCUUGCAGACCAUUAUUGGUAUAAAUCUGGCCAAAGAACUACAAAAAUUCAGAAAACUACGAUUUUUUCAGCAGAUAUGUACAAUUUUGAUAUAACCUCAAAUUGAUUUCUAUUUCUCAUGCAUUUUAUGAUUCUAAAAUAUUUGUGUUUUGGAUAAAGUUUGCAGAACAUUGGCGAUAGUUUUCUCUUAAAAAAAUAACAAGAUAUUCAGAAAAUUACGAUUUUUUUCAGGAAAAUAUACAAUUUUCAUGUAACUUCAAAUUGAUCUCCAUAACGCAUACAAUUUAUGAUUUUAAAUAUUUGCGUUUUUAACCAAAACAAGUUGGCAUAACAUCGUUGAUAGUUUUCUCUCUAAAGAACUCCAAAAAAAUCAUAAAGCUACGAAUUUUAAAAAUACUUGUUCUGUAUAAAUAUGCAACUUUUUUCAAAUCAUAAUAUGUAUGGGAUAUUGAAAUCUUAAAAUUGAUUAUAAUUGGUUAUAAUUAAUAUUUACGUCUUCGGAAAAAAAAUGUAUUUUUCUGAAUUUUUGUAGUGCUUUGGCCAGCAUAAUAUCAACAAUGGUUUGCUUCGGAAAAAUGGGCAUUUUUAAUCAUAAAUUUUGGAUGCAUAACGCAAAUAUUUUAAUAUCAUAAAAUGGAUUAAGAAUUGAGAUCAACUUGAUGUUAUAACAAAAUUGUACAUUUUUUUUUGAAUAACUCAUAGUUUCUGAUUUUUUGUAGCUCUUUGACCAGAAUUAUACUGGAACUUGGAAAAAAUUAAAUCGCCAUAACUUUUUUUCUUAUCAAUAAUUUCAAAUUAAGUCAAUUGUUUUUUAAAAGUCAUCAUAUAAGCCAUAAAUGAUCAAAAUUUCAUUGCAUUCGGUUCAUUGAAUCCGGAGAUAUAACAACUCAAAGUUGGCUAUCGGAUAAUUAUACCUUUUUCUAGAACCCUUAUAGCUUUAUGUAAAAUGGUCCGAUCUUUUCCAAAUUUUGACCACUGAUACACAGCUAGUUGAUGAACUUACAGUAAUAAUUUGAGAAUAGUUGAUGCCCUUUUCGAAAAGUUACAGCGAGUUGAACAAAGUGAAAAUUUUACCUGUCCCAGUUAUUUUGAGUAUCUCCUGUAUCAAUCUUAUGUGAUAACAAAAUUAUAAAUUAUCCGGAAAUAUUCAUAGUUUCCUGAUUUUUUGUAGUGUUUUUGUCCGAAUAAUAUCUACAAUGUACUGCAAAUAUAUUUUAGAUAAAUACGCAAUAUAUGGAAUAUUGAAAACAAUUUGAAAUUAUUGUUGGGCAGAAUUAUAUCAGCAAUGUUGUGCAACUUGUUUUGCAUAAAUACGCAAUUAGUUAAAAAUCAUAAGACGUAUGGGAUUUUGACAUCAAUUUGAAAUAAUAACAAAAUUGAAUAUUUUUCCUGAAAAAUUCCUAGUUUUCUUAGUAGUUCUUUUAAGAGAAAGCUAUGAACGAUGUUCUGCAAACUUGUUUUGAAUAAAUACGCCAAAAUUCUCAAAUCAUAAAAUGUAUAAUAAAUCGAGAUCAAUUUGAAGUCACAAUAUUGUUAUAUAUUUUUUCCGAAAAACUCGACGUUUUCUGAUUUUUGUUGAAGUAUUUUAGUCAUAUUUAUAUCAACAACGUUCAACAAACUUGUUCUGGAUACAAACGAAAAUAUUUAAAAUCAUUAAAUGUCUAAGAUUUUGUGAUCAAUAAGAUGUUAUAAAAUUCGUAGUUUUCUGAAAUUUUGUAGUUCUUCUGCCAGAUUUACAUCAAUAAUGUUCUGCAAACUUGUUCUGGAUAAAUACGCAAAAAUUUUAAAAUCAUAAAAUGUAUGGGAAUUCGAGAUUAGUUUGAAGUUAUUACAAAAUUUUAUAUUUUUCCUGAAAAAAAUCGUAGUUUUAUGAAUUUUUUGUAGUUCUUUGACCAGAUUUGUAUCAAAAAUGUUCUGGAUAAAUACAAAAAUAUUUUAAAAUCAUAAUAUGUAUGGACAUUUGAGAUUAGUUUGAAAUUAUAACAAAAUUGUAUUUUUUCCUGUAAAAUUCGUAGUUUUUUUUAAUUUUUGUAGUUCUUCUGCCAGAUUUACAUCAAUAUUGUUCUGCAAACUUGUUCUGGAUAAAUAUGCAAAUAUUUUAAUUUCAUAAAAUGUAUGGGAGUUGGAGAUUAGUUUGAAGUUAUAACAAAAUUGUAUUUUUUCCUGAAAAAAUCGUAGUUUUCUGAAUUUUUUGUAGUUCUUUGGCCAGAUUUAUAUUAAUAAUGUUCAGCGAAAAUGCUCUGGAUAAAUACGCAAAAAAUUUAAUAUCAUAAAAUGUAUGGGAAUUCGAGAUUAGUUUGAAAUUAUAACAAAAUUGUAUAUUUUUCCUGAAAAAUUCGUAGUUUUCUGAAUUUUUGUAGUUCUUCUGCCAGAUUUAUAUCAAUAAUGUUCUGCAAACUUGUUUUGGAUAAAUACACAAAUAUUUUAAAAUCAUAAAAUGCAUGGCAAUUCAAGAUUAGUUUGAAGUUAUAACAAAAUUGUAUAUUUUUCCUGAAAAAAUCGUAAAUUUCUGAAUUUUUUGUAGUUCUUUGGCCAGAUUUAUGUUAAUAAUGUUCUGCGAACUUGUUCUGGAUAAAUACACAAAUAUUUUGAAAUUAUAAAAUGUAUGGGAAUUCGAGAUUAGUUUGAAGUUAUAACAAAAUUGUAUAUAUUUCCUGGAAAAAUCGUAGUUUUCUGAUUUUUUUGUAGUUCUUUGGUCAGAUUUAUAUCAAUAAUGUACAGCAAACUUGUUCUGGAUAAAUACACAAAUAUUUUAAAAUCAUAAAACGUAUGGGAAUUUGAGAUUAGUUUGAAGUUAUAACGAAAUUGUAUAUUUUUCCUGAAAAAUUUGUAGUUUUCUGAAUUUGUUGUAGUUCUUUGAAGAGAAAAGUAUCAACAAUGUUCUGAGAAUACCUUCCUUAAGUAUAUGCGCACAUUUUAAAAUAAAAAAAUACAUUGGUUAUUGCGACAAAUUUAAAGUUACAAAAGAAAAUAUGGGUUUCUCUGUAUUAUACGUAGUUUUGUGAAUAUAUUGCAGUGCUUUGAGUGAUAAAUAAACACUUAAAUCACAUUGAUAGCUUUAUUACACUCGUGUGGGCUAUUCAUCAUCAAAAAAUCAUGUGGUCAUCGCGAUAAAUUUAAAGUUCUGCUCGAACAUAAAAAUCUUACGAAAUUUAUAACGACUUGCUCCGGGUUUUUAAGUACCAGAAAUUAGAAUUUUGAUCAGAGAAAAUUUUCAAAACAUGUAUACUCAUCCAGAGAUCCUAAAAAAUUCAUUGCUAAAAAAAUUUUUGAAAUCGGACUUGUAACGGCCGAGAUAUAGAAGGUUGAAAUUAGCGUUCCAACUUUUUUUGAGGCAUAGACGUUCGUGUAAGUGAAAAAUAGCAUCGACGCAGGAGUGUUAAUAAUAUUCGCUUUUUUUCCGUCCACUGAUUUUCAACCGCUCGAACGCUUCGAGAACCAGUCGCAACGCGAUUGAACCUGUCUGGUGAGCGCAAACAAGAAAAAAAAACAAUAUUAUGUGACCAUCAGUCAGUCUGUGUUUGGAUUGGAUGAAGAGGAUGGUCUUGGUCAUGGUACCAUCCAUCUCGGUGCCAGCGGAAACUACCUUACCCAAGUGAGUCUUUGUUGUCGGGGGCCAUCCUAUCACCAGUUAAAUCCAGAGCCAUAGUCGCAGUCACUCGGUGUCUGAACAGGGACUUACACAUUUUCCACUCUUGCAUGAAUUUGCACAAAGGAACUCCCAUCGACGAACCCAUCCCAACCAAAUUGCAGCGAGCUGCUGAUGGGUUUCCCCCACGCCCCACCCAAAAAAAGGGUGCCAAAGUUUGUUUCUUUGUUUCUCUGCCUCGCCCUGGGUACAGCGAAACAUGAUGGAAAAUGCACUAGCAGCGUCCCACCCAAUCUAACCCAGCCAACAACGCCGUUGUUCGUGGUGGGAUGCAGCUGAUCAGUGAGACGAGAGAGACCAGUUGGGGAACUUUCUUUUAUUCUGAUGCACAAGCAUGGAACGGUGACACCACGCAGGGCAAAACGAUGGAAAUAAAUCUCGUGCGACUUUUUUGGGGAGUGGUAGGGUCUUGGACAGAUCAAGCCAUCUCACCUUGCAGAUAUUUAUUCAUACAUACAACAUUUUGGAGCAAGAGAUGAAUGGAGCGUUGACUUGACACAUCAGAGCUACCUCCUUCCUCUCCCCUAAAGACACCAAUAACUGGACUCUUCAAAUGCAGCAAGACUGAAUUGGUUGAUGGUGGUGAUGGUUGCUGGUCGCCUCCCGAGCCAGACGUCUGCCUGAUGCCAGCAGCCACACAAAGAAGUAAUCGGCGAAAAAGCACAUCAGACCGCCAUCAACAUCUGGUUCUGCUGCAGUGUCGGUGGUGGAUGGGUCGGUCUGUGGAGCUGCCGAUGUGUGUGGUGGCAUGCGCAAACCAUCGUUCCAUCUCCAAACUCUCAGCUGUACAAGCUCCAGACCAGACUAGCUGGAGUAAAAAAAAGCAACGACACAAAUUUCUAUCAUUCACAUAAAGGAUUCGCAUUAGCCAAACCAAGCACGUACAAACGGCGAUAUCAACUACAAAAAUAGUGAAAACUCAUGUUUCUGAUGGCGGUGCAGCCUUGGCACUUCUGACAUCAGCUAGAUUAAGGAGGUACGACCCGAGCGUCUGUUCACCAAGGAGGUGCGGCUCAAACAGCGUCUGUUCUAGCAUCCAGCGGCUAAGUAUGAAAUGCUUUUCCACCGGAAGCUAUACCUAAGGUGGUAACCCCACCACGGCGCAAGGGUGUCCCUGAGAAAAUCAUCGACCUCAUUGAAGCACAGUACAAGGCAUUUUCGUGCAGAGUACUGCACAACGGUACUUGUCCGGUCCCAUCCGGGUCGUUGUUGGAGUGAGGCAAGGAUGUAUCCUAUCACCGAUACUGUUCAUUCUCGUAAUCGACGAGAUCCUGGUAGAAGCGAUUGAUCGCGAAACAAAUCGUGGGUUGCUGUGACAGCUCAUUCUCAUUACCAUGGAGCACCUAAAUGUCUUCGAACUGGCUGGAUGACGUUACUCUUUUAGCUCAACAACGGCGCUCUGAUAUGCAGAGUAAGCUCGAUGAUCACUUCUCGGCGGCUGGUCUCAACAUCAACGUCAACAAGUCCAAAUCGUUGGACGUAAACACGGUCAACCCUUCCAGUUUCACGGUAGCUGGGCAGGCAGUGGAGAAUGGUGAAAGCUUCCAAUAUAUUGGUAGCCAAAUGGCGGCCGAUGGCGGCACCAAGAUCGAUAUAGGUGCACGGAUCAAGAAGGCGAGGGCUGCUUUUGCGAGUUUAAGAAAUGUGUGGAAAAACAACCAGAUUAGUCGACGCAAAAAAAUCCCAAUUUGCAACUAGAACGUGAAAUCUGUGCUGCUAUACGCCAGUGAAACCUGGUGUGUAUCAGUGGAGAACACUCAACGGCUGCAGGUCUUCAUCAAUAGAUGCCUGCGGUAUAUAAUGAUUCGUGCAUAGUAGCCCCACAAUUGGAUAUCCAACGUGGAGCUACAUCGUGGAUGCCAUCAAAAGCCGAUAGCAACAGAAAUUUGGGAGCGAAAGUGGAGAUGGGUCGGCCUUACUAUACGCAAGGGCGGAAACAAAAUCUGCAAGCAAGCGUUAGAUUGGAACCCAGUAGGACAUCGCAGCAGAGGCAGACCCAGAGGCUCAUGGUGGCGCAGCCUCAACAACGAAAUCAAGAAAUUUGACCUGGCCACAGGUCAAGGCGAUGGCUGGCAAUCGCCCAGGAUGGCGAUCUUUCAAUUCGGCCCUCUGCACCACCGUGGGUGCUCAGAAUUGAAAGUAAGUUCCUAGAAAUCGGCAUGAUUUUUUCACUGGCUCAUUUUUUUUCAUAACUUCGAAAACAUCUCUCAUACAGUAGUAAAAACACUCGAAAAAAAAACAUAAUAAGAUAUUACGAUUAUUUUAAACCCGUUGGUGCAUUCUAUUUGGGCAGGGAGACCUAUUUUGGGUACUUCUUGCUAUAACUCGGUCAAUUUUGAUCCAAUAGGGCACGUUCGGUGUAGUACUAGAUUUGUAGUAAUGAGCUGAAUUUUAGUAUGGUGAGAAGGUCAAUUCUCCGUUUCUGCAAUGAAAUGGAGCAAAAAGCGUGGGUAUUAUGAUUCCUUGCCUAAUUUGAUGCUGUUUGAGCAAAACUUUGGAUAACUAUGUUGUUUAUGUUGCAAGAAAUGGACAAAACAACAACACCGUUACCCAAAGUUUUGCUCAAACAGCAUCAAAUUAGGCAAGGAAUCAUAAUACCCACGCAUAUUGCACCAUUUCAAUGCAGAAACGGAGAAUUGACCUUCUCACCAUACUAAAAUUUAGCUCAUUACUACAAAUCUAGUACUUCGCCGAUCUGUCCUAUUGACUUGAAUAGUGCCCAAAAUAGGUCUUCUUGCCCAAAUGAUCCCAUACCCUAUUUCUAUAAUUUUGCUGUACUGCCCAUAACUGCAUAUUUGUAACAUUUGUAGUUUUUGUCAAUAUUGAGUUAACACCGAGAAUAAUCUACAACUCAUCAGUAUUUUCAUCCACCCAAAUGAACAUUACAAGUUUGUUCUACAAAAUGUGUAAAAAAAUAUCAAGUCGUUUUGUCUCAUUAUCAAAAAUUCACGGUUACAACAGUCAUUGGGAAUAUACACUAGCCUCAUAGAGUAUCAUCAGUCAUAUUUUGGUCUAAUUAUUUUUUCAACAACACAUACACUACCGCUUUACGCAUAAUUGUCCCAUGUUAUAUGGGAUUACCAUAUAACAUGGGACAAUCGGGCGUAGAACGGCAGUACAACAGUGUAUAAAAACAUAAAAAUAACAAAAGAUUGUGGAAGUUAUUUUAUUCGGAUGCUUAAGGAAGUUCAAACUGUUCUUGAGAUUUACAUCAUGAAGUCUUUUGGUGUAAUAGUAACUUUUUACUAGGUCAUCUAAAUUAUUAUUUAGUUUAGAAUUCAGGGAUUCAUUAAACAGCAUAAAUUGCUGCGUCAGCCAUGAUUUUCUGCUAUUUGAAUGCGAAUGAAAUAAUCAAAGACUGCCGUGAUCGCGACGAUUAAUCAGGGAGGUAUUUAAUCAGCGGUUUACGCUGUUAAGUAAAUCCCCCUUAUAUAAUCUACAUACAACGAUAAGGCAAUAUUUUUUUGGUUGCCUAGAGUUAUGUUACAGGGUCAACUGGGCUUAUUGGUGCUCAUAGUAUUUCAAAAGAAACUAUGAGUACUAUCGAGAAAUUCAGGAUGAUCAAAAUUGUUCUGCAAUUCAGAGCAUGGGAUCUGCAGCCGCAACAACAACUGUUUUUGUUAUUACGCAACAUUACCAGUUGUAAAGACUGUCCGGGAAACUCAAGUGACAUUAUAAAUUGCUGAAACUUCAUAAAGUCAGAGGUUCCCAAACUUUUUGCUAUCGCGGCGCUUUUUAAAAUUUUCUAAUAUGUCACGGCGCACCAACAUUUUUUACAGAGAAUUUUUCAUUAUUUCAGAACAACCUUCUGUUCAAAAAUUUCAAUGCAAAAUUGGUAAUUUUCAGUACCAUUUUUCUCAAAAUCCAGAUAAAUUUAAGUUUCUCAACAAGUUUUUUUUAAGAAAAAAUGCCAAAGGAUUUCAUAAAUAUUUGUUAGAUUUCAAAUAUCAUAUUUUUUUCGCACAAAUUAAACAAAUGUAACAGAAGCUUCUACAUUUAAAGCAAGCUGCUAGUUUCUAAUGAUUCAACCAAAAACAGUAAAACUGUUGCAAUACUUUGAAAAUUCACGGUGAAUUGAAAUGAUUCCACAUAAUUUUAUGAAAAUCUUAGAUUGCGGGAAUAACAAAACAUUAAAAGAUGUUAAGUUACCUGACUUUUCAACAACUUUUCAACAAACUUAGAUACAAAAAUAGGAUGUUGAGGACUAGGCUGAUGACAAAUCAUUUAUUACCAUGCGUUUGAGCAUUUUGUCUUGAGAAAAGCUUGAAGGACCAUCUUUCGCAUGAAGUUUGGAUGACUAUUUUGGAACAACGAACGAACAAGUUGAUUAACUGGAUGGUAAAAUUUAUAAAAAAAAUGUCUCAAUCUCGCGUUCCUCGAACUUCGGAACGGGUCUUAAUGAGAUUAAAAGAUGCAUAGUUUUCCAUCAUUUUCCAUCAAGAUCUCAAAAGAAUUAAUUUCAAGAUGUGACCUACUUGCAAAAAAAAACGACAAUUUGCAGAAGUAUUCGGUGAUAAUGACGUUAGUAAAAAAACUGUCCCCAAAAGCAGGAGACAACAUAAAGAAAGAGAAGAAACUUUUUACGACUUUAAAAAUAUUCACUUUCAACCGUUAUGUGUCCGACAAACUUUUAGCUUUUUUCUACACCGUGUUUUUUUAAAUGGGCGCUAGGUAUCCGGGUACCCUGUCGGUCACAUAAGGGUUAAAUUUAAAGCUGUUGGUAGAAUCGAAAACUCAACCAAAGUUUUGGAAAUCCAAAAAUCAAUUUUAAAAUCUUGACAAAAAUUUGUUUAAACUCCGAAAAUUUGAAAAUUUGAUAAUGUUUUAAGAGGAUACCAAAAAUUAUAUUACCAUAGUAUAUUCGAGGUUCGGGAUACAUUUUGGAAAAAUGCCGUGAAGCAAUACUUCCAAGUUCCAUUAAACAAGAACAAAUAUAUAAUCCUUCGUUUUGUUUUCUCUAGGCCUGCAGCGCACCUGCAAAAUGUUCACGGCGCACCAGGGCGCCACGGCGCACAGUUUGGGAAGCACAAAGCUAUCCUUGAGUUCAGAACUAGAAGAAAUACAAUUUUCAUCUCCCUACAAGAGGAUAGACAUUUACUUUCAUCGGACCAACACCAUUAUUAGCAUAAGGCCAGCAGCCAACCUGAGCCUAUGCUACCACCCGCACAAGCUCAAACCAUCCUCGGAGCAACAACACACAACCACUCGCUCACUCAGCCACUGACUGCGAGUGUCGAGUGCCCAUCCAGUGGAACUCAGUUAUGGCUUUGGCUGCUGACAGCUGAUUUUGUUGACAGUUCACUGUCCAGUCCCUCGUUUGUGUUAUUUUGCUACUGCUACUGCUGCUGCUGUUGUUGUUGUUGUUGUCAUAAACGAAGAUUAGAGAUACAUUACGGCAGGAGGGCUGAUGCGUACAAAGAGGAAAAGGGGCAGAGCAGAGAUCACUGUCCGUAUUACCGAGGAAAAAUACGCAAUACAUGUAUGCACAUUAGGGUGCGGCUUAUGUUUUUUUAUGCGUUUGGCUUUCUGACCACAACACAUCACCAGGCAAACUUAGUGGUACAUAUAUGAAAUGUUAAAAUGUAGCUAUUACCUUAAAAUAGGAUGCAAGAGUAUUAAAUGUGGCUACCAAACUCAUGAGAGAAUAAUCGAAUUAGAAUCUCUUUUGAAUAGGCUCCUAAAGUCCUAUCGGGAUUCUUGUUUUAAACCACAAUAUAUGGUUCAAGAGUACAUAUUUACUCAUUUUUUGACGUUUUUAUUAACCGUAGUUGAAAAUAUAUAAUUUUUAUUUUUUUAGCUUUUUGUCUCGUCCCUAGCUUAUAACACAUACUUUGAGUGAUUUUUUUUCACCGUGUAUGUCAGAUAGGAACAUUUUUGAAAUCCCAAUGCGAAAAAUGUCGAGCUCAGUCACACAAGGUUGACCUCAAAUGUCAAAGUAGAACUAUUUACCAUUUUACUUAUUUUGAAUUUUCUCAUUAUUCCUUUGUUUUUUAAGUUCGAGUAAAGUACAAUUCCGAUUAGAAUACCAUGCUUGAUCGUAUUAUUUAAUAUAAGCGAGAUUUCGUCUUUAAUUUUAGGACCCUAUUGAAAUUCUGAAAAAAAAAAAUAUCUCGGAAUUUUUUUUUCAUCUUGAUUCACGAUAAGUAUGAGGUUUGAACGUAACUCUCUAUGAUUUUAUCUUUCUCAAGUAUAAAAAUUUACUCUGUAAUCAAUGAAACAUAAAUCCUUUUGAGGAAUAUUUUAGCAAGUCUUAGACACAAUACCUGAAGAACAAUUAUCACAUUUUCUAUAUCGUUUCUACGGGUUUUCACGUGAAAAAAAAAAAUUGAAACAUCAAUGUUGCUGAAUUUGACUUGUUAUUGUGUUCUGGACAGAAAAACUCAUUUCAAUUAGGGACUAUAAUAAACCUCUGGGUAGGGUACAAUUCUUCAAAACUUUGCAUGGACAACAUUCAUCAAAAAUAACAUGGAGAGGAAAAACAGCCCCUACACAAUACAAGCUUGAAAACUUGUUUAAUUUCACAAGGAAAAUUGAUAUACAUGGGCUCUAUGGGCUUGGGCAUCACUGCUGAAAUCCGCAAAUGACAACCAACAUGGCCACCUUGUUUUCUACUUGAAAGUUCAAGAUCAUGAAUGGGAGCGUCCAUAAAUUACGUCACGCUUUAAGGGGGGAGGGGGGGUUCAGCAAAGUGUGACGACCCAUACAAAACUUUCAGAGGUUCCAUACAAAAAGUGUGACAUAGGGGGGAGGGGGGGUUGAAAAUGACCAAUUUUUGCGUGACGUAAUUUAUGGACGUUCCCAAUUCAGUAAACCUUAUCAAGUUAUAACUGCAGUUUGUUGGUUGCUCAUUCGAAGUAAGUGUGGCAAAAUUUCUAGCGAACUUGAAACAAAGCACAUUAUUGCAAAAUUCCACAUUUUUUCUUGAGAAAACAGUUAUUUUUUUGUUUGUGAGAAAAGUGACUUAGUUGCAGCUUUAGACACAAAAAAAUAAUUAUAUGCAAGCAAUUUGUUGGAUGCCUUUUUUGUAAAUCGCUAUACAAUUUCGAUGAUAUUUCUGGGAAAAUGCCUGGCGAAGUUUUCAGAAGAAAUUACAGCGGACCUCCGUGGAUAUUUCUUGGCAAAACCCUUUGAUUUUUUUUUGAAUAUUUUCUAUGUAAUAUUGUCAAAUAUUUUGAGGACUGGAACAUUUCCUUUGAGUUGUUUCUGGUAAAAAGUAUGCUUUUUUGGUAAUUGAGUAAUGAUCUGUGUACCCGACAUAUUUUGGAUAUACUUUUUUCCUGGAGUAAAUAUGGAUUAAGAAAAUAUUGUACAAAAAAAAAAAGAAUGACGGUUCAUACGAUAAAAAGAAAACUUGAGAAAUGCCAUGAUCAUACCACAAAUUUUUCAAAAGUGAAGAAGUUCCUCAAAGUUUAAAAAAGUGUUUCAUAGAAUAAAACUUAGAAUAGAAAAAAGAUUAAACAAGCUAAUUUAAUGGUGUAAAUUCAAAAGAGGACAAGAAUUCAAAUUUUGAAGAAUUCAAUAAUAUUUUCGAAAAAUAUGUCACACCCUAAUGGGCAUGGUUCGUAUAAUUAGCAAUUGCUUUUUCGAAAAAGGGGAUUCAUCAUUGGCAUGAAUCAAUAAUUGCGACAAGAGUUGAAAGCUCUAAAAUGGAUUCUGUCGUCCUAUAAAUCAAUCAGCUUAACACCACGGAUGCCAGAUGAAAACAGACAUGUUUAGGAGAUUUGCAAAAUGACGUCUGAUUGGACGGACACUGAAACCAAUACUACAGAAGGGUGGGCCACUUACCUUACUGAAGUAAAUUCGGAAAAUUUCUAUCAAACGAAGAUAAUGUUAUAUAAAUCCAUUCUUUAAGCACGGAAAAUCCUUUUUCACUAAUUUAAUCAACAUAUUGUCCGUAGCUGUGGCUGGUAUCUAUCGUAUACCGUUUUGCUUUUUUCCACAAUCACUUUUGGUCACCUCGGCGAAGGGAGUUGCACCAACACAAAGAAAGCGAUUUUUCCUAAUUGUUUUUUUUUU